GGCCCCCACAGUAGCAUUCAUAUUAAUAGCAGUCACUCAACAAAUAUAUUCCCUUACUUUACUUAUACUUUUCAAAUCUUAACUAAAAACAAUCUUAAAGUCAUUAAAACCGAUUUCAACUUUCAACAUUUCUAAUUUCUGAUAAUCCAGUGUAAAAACCAUUAGCACUAUUUUUCUAACCUGUAUUAUUGGAUUUUUAUGAUCUAUCCGUUCCGCUGCUGUUCGUCGGCUUCUUCUUCUUCUCUAUGCCCAGUAAUUUCGUGUUGGUAAUUAUAUAAAUCAUUUAUUUAUGAACUAUUUACUUUCGAGUUAAGCCCGAUAAUGGUUAUUCUCAACGAUUUCUCUCCCUCGCCGCCUCCCUUUUCUAAUUUCGUUUGCUUCGCUUGAAUGAAAUGCAAAUUGUUUCUAUUUUUCCCUGGGCAAAUUGUGUUUUCUAAUUACAAAUACAUAUGUAUGCAUGUAUGCAUGUAUGUGUAACGCGAGUUAACUCCUAUUUCUGUUUUGGCAUUCGCAUCCCAAAGUGGAACAGUUAGUGGAGAAGAACUAAAGAGAGGACGAACAGCAGGAGGAGGAGGAGUGCAAAGAACUGAGGACAAGCGGCGAUCAUUAAGCUCCAGUUGCUCUAACAAUGCUGUGAUGUAAGGUUCGUGCUAAGUUGAUUCUCGACAGUGGAAGUUUUUUAACUGUGUAAAUGUGUUAAUAUAUAUAUGCUGACUAAAAAAAGGUAUUUAAGUGACCGGAGUAAACGGGUCCUCAUAUCGUACAGCUUAGUCCCACUGUGCUGCAUCGGCGACGUCUGCGGAGUGAUACAAUAAAUUUAAGCAGCUAAAUGCACGUGCUGAGUGAGGCGACGCCGUUGACAAGUACCGGUAUUAUGGAUCUUCGGAUCGUCGGGUUCCGUUCCCGGUUGCAUAACCAUAACGCUAGGCAUGCGCUUGAGAUUUAUGCAGCUAGAGCAGUUGCUGUUGGUCUUGGGUGCUAAGCAAGUUGCAGAAAAAGAAAAUACAAACUCAAGCUGGAUUACCGUUGCGGUGCUUACCUGCAGAUUUUAAAUUCAUCAUCAAACACCACAACAACAUAAGACGGCAGAAGACGUCUAGCAAGUUUUGUUUGGAAAAUGGAAAGCUUUUCAACGUUAUUAGCGAGGACCAGCACCUAUGGUGAAUUUAACUACAGAGCUUAGUCAGGUUUCACACCUGCUUGGGAAUCAAGUCGAGAGUUUUUCAUGGAAAUGGGGGAAAAGCCAACCAAACACUUACCAUCGAUGAAGCACCAAUCCUGGGAGACUUUGGGAUAGGAGAUG
Long non-coding RNA from Drosophila eugracilis, 1303 nucleotides. RefSeq lists it as uncharacterized. The record is from RefSeq and is a predicted model, not a curated record. The transcript is spliced from 5 exons. Lineage: Eukaryota; Metazoa; Arthropoda; Insecta; Diptera; Drosophilidae.